Long non-coding RNA from Oryzias javanicus (javanese ricefish), 2445 nucleotides. The record is from Ensembl. Lineage: Eukaryota; Metazoa; Chordata; Actinopteri; Beloniformes; Adrianichthyidae.
GUGUGACCGUGGCUGGGAGUCCCCGAGGAGCAACGCUGUGGGGGUGGAGGUUUGGAGGCAGGCCUUGUCCCUCCGCUUCAUCAGGCACAGACGUGAGCGUAGGACAUGGGGUCACCGAGAGCACCAACUGUAAUCUACGUAGAAAGAUAAGCACGCCGUUCAGUGACACCCAGAGGUGGAAAAUCAAUGCCUGUCAUGACAUCUUUUUAUGAACUGCCAAGGUCAGUGUCUAGGUUUCAGUUUAGUGCUGUAUGGGGACGCCAGUAAAUGAGAGAAUGCUCUGACUUUGGCAAUUUGUGCACAUUUAGCUGAACAAGCAUCUCAAAUCUUUCAGUUGGAUGUAUUAAUGUCCAUUAUUUCUGUUGUCCUGGAUCCAAAACUCAUCUUCAGCCAAAGCUGAGCAACAUAUUGGAGCAACAGUGGUUAAAAAUGCUGAAAUGCUGACUCUUCUAUUUCAUACGGAGCAUCUUUUUUCAUCACCCGCUGCCUAAAAGUGCUCAUGUCUCACACCUCUCGCCAUGUACAGGUUUUUUAUUAAUUUAUAACUCUCAAAAGCCAAAACGAGAUGGCCCGAAUAACAUCGUGUUGACACAGAACGUGUUCCUUCUGAGCAGCUGUCCUUCACAUACGACCCAGUAAUUGAUUUCCAAGCGACCACAUCACUGUGCUGACUGUUGGAUUCAUCUCUCCUCUUAUCACUGUGCCUCUGCUGUCAUGAGAAAUAGAAAUAUCUCCUCACUGCCAUGUGUUUUUUCCCUCCCCACUGAAGGAUUGACCUUCCUCCGACUCACAAGCCGCCCCCUCCUUACUCGGAGAGAGCACCCGCUGUUCCUCUGGGAGUCCACGCAUCGCAAGUGGCCUGGCUGUGUCAGACUCGCAGAGCUGGUCCCGGAUUUGAACGGCCGCCCGCAUCCAGGGCAGCACCACCGACAGCGCAGCGCCCCACCCAACAGCGCCCCACCCAACAGCGCCCCACCCAACAGCGCUCCACCCAGCAGCACUCCCGUCUUGAGUGGGUGUGUCAUCAGAGCGGGUCAGACAGAGUGUACAUCAACCACCAAGAGCACUACGUGUGACACGUUACCCAAACGUUCUCCACUAAUCACUCGGCAGCUCUCGGUGCGUGAGGCGCAGCAGAGGAGGGAUGUGCCUGUCUACAGGCCCAGCUCUGAAUUUCCAUCAUGUUGGACGUUUUGAAAAACAACCUCCUGUCAGAGUGAGCUUAUAGUCAUCAAGUAGAGUAGAAAAACUACGGAGCCCUGGACAUGACAUUUAAAGACAUAGGAAAAACCAAAUUGUGUCAUCAAAUUAAAAAUUGCUGGCCACCAACUAAUAUGUUGUGUGCACAGGUUAGUGUUUUGUCACCACAAAUAAGCAAUUUUUUUUGUAUUUUGUGGACAAAACAAAAUGCUAGUUUGUUCACAAAAAAUUCCAAUUUGUGUGUACAAAUUGCUUAUUUAUGUCAACAAAAUACCGACUUGUGACCACAAAAUACUGGUUUUUAACCUAAGUGUUAAUUUGAGUGGACAAAAUGCAAAUUUUUGUGUAUAAAUUGCCCAUUUGUGCAAUAAAAAUGCUAAUUUGUGACCCCAAAAUGCUUAUCUUGCAUACAUAUUGCCAUUUUAUCCCUGCAAAAUGCUAAUUUGAGGACACAAACUACUAUUUUAUGAUCACAAAUUAUGAAUUUAUAAAAAAAUGUAUUUUUUUUAUGUUAUACCCAGACUUAUAAGCAUAAAAAAAUAAGCAGCUGGAGAAAUUCCACAAGCGUCAAGCUAUUGCAUUGUAUUUAAAUUUCCAAAAUUGAACUGGUGUUAUUACACAUCAAUAACUGAGCCAAAGCUCAGACCGUAAAGGGAUAAUAAAAGUAUUUAUGUCCCAGUUCUGCUGUAAAACCAUGUUUUUUUGGCUAAAGAACCAGUAGAUUUUGAAAUAUAGCCUUUGAAUCAGUUUAACUGCUGUGUUCUUCAUCUUAUCAGGGAAACAAAAACAUAUUACUGCAGCGUUUUAGAAAAAAAAGGAAUCUCUUGCUUUGGUAAAUAUUCCAUAGUGGACUUUUAUUGCUUUGUUCCUGAAACUAACCCUCUCUAAGUGCCAUUUUGGGAGUUUUCUCCUGCGAGUGUGUAGCAUGCUGUAGACUUCUCAGUCCUCCUGUGUAACAAGAUGGAGUUGCUUUCUUGUUUGACGUAUUGUUUUUAUUAAAGUGCACAUUAUAGCCAAUCGUGUUUCUUGUGUGACAUUAAAAAAAAAAAAAAUCAUGAGGAAAUAUAGGCUGUUUCUGAACUGCUGGGUAAAGUCACGUAUCUGUAAGUGUGGGUGUUCAAUGACCUUUUUUAAGGUAAGCACGCAGUGGCGAAAGCUGUGAGUCAUAGUGGUGAGACAAAAAGAAAAGUCCUUGAAGAUCGUAGAGAGUUUAAACUGAUGAUUGGAGCUUUUUUUUUUUCUGGG